This 82-nucleotide microRNA precursor is filed under the name Trichobilharzia regenti. Its description in RNAcentral is "mir-3492 microRNA precursor family". It matches the Rfam family "mir-3492 microRNA precursor family". Lineage: Eukaryota; Metazoa; Platyhelminthes; Trematoda; Strigeidida; Schistosomatidae. The record is from Rfam by way of RNAcentral.
AGCCCUCUGUAUCCGUGCAGAGAUUCCGUCAGAGAUCAACCCAUUGGCAUGGGCUGAUGGUACUUCCCAAAUAAGUGAAGCG